CAAAGCUAGUGGACCAACCAAAGAUAAGCUUCAUCCUCGCGGUUAGCAGUUCAUCAUAUCAGACACCAAAAUCUUCAGAACCACCAGCAGGAAGCAAAGGACUGCAUAGUUCUCUUCAGUUCAACAAGAUGAGGUCCGGGAGGCGCGCUUGAGCUCCUUUGAUUCCUGAUUCUUCCCAAUCCUAUGAAAGGGACUGUAUAAAUCUCAAUAUCUCUCGCCAAUUUCACCUAUUCCAGUUUUGUCCUUUCUAGAGAAAGACAUUUGGAAAAAAAACUGCAAAAUGAGUCUGGAGGCACGUUUGUGCUCUUUCGGAACCCAGCUCCUGACUCGUACC
This 334-nucleotide long non-coding RNA is filed under the name Setaria viridis. RNAcentral describes it as "long non-coding RNA (SVIR_LNC003621)". The record is from RNAcentral. Lineage: Eukaryota; Viridiplantae; Streptophyta; Magnoliopsida; Poales; Poaceae.